UAGUCCCUGUUAUAGUCCAGGAAUGGGUAGGCAACCCUGGUGGGUUGGAUUUAGCCAAUCACAGGGCUAAGAUAUAUUUUAUUAGUCCCUGUUAUAGUCCAGGAACAGGGUUACCUUCCCCUGGUGGGUUGGAUUUAGCCAAUCACAGGGCUAAGAUAUAUUUUAUUAGUCCCUGUUAUAGUCCAGGAACAGGGUUACCUUCCCCUGGUGGGUUGGAUUUAGCCAAUCACAGGGCUAAGAUAUAUUUUAUUAGUCCCUGUUAUAGUCCAGGAACAGGGUUACCUUCCCCUGGUGGGUUGGAUUUAGCCAAUCACAGGGCUAAGAUAUAUUUUAUUAGUCCCUGUUAUAGUCCAGGAAUGGGUAGGCAACCCUGGUGGGUUGGAUUUAGCCAAUCACAGGGCUAAGAUAUAUUUUAUUAGUCCCUGUUAUAGUCCAGGAACAGGGUUACCUUCCCCUGGUGGGUUGGAUUUAGCCAAUCACAGGGCUAAGAUAUAUUUUAUUAGUCCCUGUUAUAGUCCAGGAACAGGGUUACCUUCCCCUCUUAUAUGUACAGAAGAGAAUGUGAGGUAUAAAAAUAAUAUAUAAAAUAAUACCAGUUUUAUUUUUUAUAUUUUUCAUCCUGUAAAUAAAAAUCCUUUAUUUUAAUUCUUUACGAUACUAUUGUCCUGUGACACCAAAAGUCUGAAUGUGAUUUAAUAGUGGGCAGGUAGUCUGGUGGUUAGAGGAGGGAGGUAGCCUAGUGGUUAGAGGAGGCAGGUAGCCUAGUGGUUAGAGGAGGCAGGUAGCCUAGUGGUUAGAGGAGGCAGGUAGCCUAGUGGUUAGAGGAGGCAGGUAGCCUAGUGGUUAGAGGAGGCAGGUAGCCUAGUGGUUAGAGGAGGCAGGUAGCCUAGUGGUUAGAGGAGGCAGGUAGCCUAGUGGUUAGAGGAGGCAGGUAGUCUAGUGGUUAGAGGAGGCAGGUAGCCUGGUGGUUAGAGGAGGCAGGUAGCCUAGUGGUUAGAGGAGGCAGGUAGUCUAGUGGUUAGAGGAGGCGGGUAGCCUGGUGGUUAGAGGAGGCAGGUAGCCUAGUGGUUAGAGGAGGCGGGUAGUCUAGUGGUUUGAGGAGGCGGGUAGUCUAGUGGUUUGAGGAGGUGGGUAGCCUGGUGGUUAGAGGAGACAGGUAGCCUGGUGGUUAGAGAAGGCAGGUAGCCUAGUGGUUUGAGGAGGUGGGUAGCCUAGUGGUUAGAGCGUUGGACGAGAAAUCGAAAGGUUGCAAAAUCGAAUCCCCGAGCUGACAAGGUAAAAACCUGUCAUUCUGCCCCUGAACAAGGCAGUUAACCCACAGUUCCCAGGCCGUCAUUGUAAAUAAGAAUUUGUUCUUAACUGACUCGCCUGGUUAAAUAAAAAGGUACAAAUAAAUAAAUAUGAAUGUCAACAUGUUGUGAUUUGUUUAUUAUAACAUAUAGAAAUGUAGGAUAAGGUUAUGUAAAACACAAAUGUAACUUGUUCUUGUGAAAGGAUUAGCUACAAUGUAUUUAUGGAGGGGGAAACGAUUAGCUACAAUGUAUUUAUGGAGGGGAAACGAUUAGCUACAAUGUAUUUAUGGAGGGGGAAACGAUUAGCUACAAUGUAUUUAUGGAGGGGGAAACGAUUAGCUACAAUGUAUUUAUGGAGGGGGAAACGAUUAGCUACAAUGUAUUUAUGGAGGGAGAAAUGAUUAGCUACAAUGUAUUUAUGGAGGGGGAAACGAUUAGCUACAA
This is a long non-coding RNA of Oncorhynchus keta (chum salmon), 1736 nucleotides long. RefSeq lists it as uncharacterized. NCBI's taxonomy places the organism in Eukaryota, Metazoa, Chordata, Actinopteri, Salmoniformes, Salmonidae. The record is from RefSeq and is a predicted model, not a curated record. The transcript has 3 exons.